This is a long non-coding RNA of Cyprinus carpio (common carp), 4563 nucleotides long. RefSeq lists it as uncharacterized. The record is from RefSeq and is a predicted model, not a curated record. Lineage: Eukaryota; Metazoa; Chordata; Actinopteri; Cypriniformes; Cyprinidae. The transcript has 8 exons.
UACUUGACAUGAAGAUAUAAGUAUUUUAAACUGCUUGCUAUGACUUAAAAAUGAGGCUAGUGUUAUUAUGACAACUGAUGUCAUGUGACUCGGCUUCUAUCAAGGGGGAGGUGCUCAACAAUCAAUUAAGAGUAUGUUGUUAGCAGACUGCAGUUGCCAUCAUGGCUAGGUUUAGAAAAGGAAAAUAUAAAAAAGAAAACUACAUUUGGGCAAAGGUUGGUGGUACAAAGAAACUAGUUAAUGCAUUAGCUACACAUGGUGUGGGAAAAGGAAAGGCAAACUGGUCCACGCUAGCUGUGCACAUUUUUAACUCCCAUCCACCAAAUGCAAAAUUUGCAAAGUGGCUGCAAACUGUUUGGACAGAGGACAGGAGAGGAGUUCGAAGAGAGGUGCUUCAAACAGACAGAUGUUCUGAUAGGGAAAAUGUUGAGAAAGCUGAGGAAAUAGUUGAGGUGACUGAAGGGCACAGUGACACUAAGGAAAGAAAGGAUGAAAUCUAUCCUUGUGCCAGGGAAGAUGACAGGAACAGCACUGGUGAUAAAGAUGAACAAGAGAAUACUAACAACGAUGAUGUAAGUUCAGGACACAAUGAGCAGAAUGGUACAGAAGAGUGGAGGGAUGAGGAUUAUUCUUGUGACAGUGAAGAUGAGGCUGCAGACAGGAACAGUAACAGUGCAGAUGAAGAUGUGAAUAAUGAUGAGACAGCCACUGGAAACUGGAGGAAAACAUUAGAAAUUUAAAGUUACCAUAAAAACAAGAACCUGGAAAAAAAUAAAGCCACAUGCAGGCUCAACCCACUUACAAAAGCCCUGGACAGACAUCUUAUAUGAAGCAUUCACUAAAGUAAAUCCUUGCUGUGUGCUUUCAUUUAAGUAUCAGCAUGUAAAAUGUACCUUAUUUCAGGGCACUUGGUGUCUGUACCCUUGAUGACUGCUCAGCAAAAAAAAAAAAAAAAAAACACACCACUAGAUGAGAUUUUAGCAGGCAACAUUUCCAAAUGCCUUACAAUGGAUGUCUUAAGAGUUAUAUCUAGUGAAGUCAUGAAAAGCACAAGACUCCAUGAUGAUGUUAUCAUGGAGAUGAUGCUCUGCCAGAAGAUCAUGAAGGAGUGGAGUGGUACUGCCUCUCAAGUGGCAGGCUAUAUUCAACAUUUACAAGUGGACCCAUUUGGCGUCCACUUGUACACAGAUUGUGGUCUACAAAUACUGGCAGAAUGUUUGAAAAACUCACCCCCAGUCACAUUGCAUCUAGAUGCUAGAGACAGUGUCAUGCCACGUAUCCCCAACCAAAGCAAAAGAAUCCUUUAUUAUGCCCUUGUUCUCCCUGGGAAAGGAAAAGAUAAGCCACCCCUUCCUGUGUCCGAGUUCAUAUCAAAUGAGCACUCCAUACCAACUCUCACAUUCUGGCAGAUGGAAACACUGAGAUAACUGAACAAGAUAACAACACGGAAGGUCCACCAUGUUGAAACUGAUUUUAGUUGGGCACUCAUUGGUAGUGUCCUCCUGGCCUUCAAUAAAGAAAGUGUCUCAUCUUACAUAAACUGAGCGCAUCUACUUGUCAGCCAAAAAGUGAAAAAAGCAGAUACAGAAAAUUUCACAGUUAUCCAUCUAUGUUCAUCCCAUAUAAUAAAGGCUCUAACUCAAUCAUUUUCAAAGAAAAGUAGCGAGUAAGAAUAUGCCACUUACUGUUUUGGCCUUCUACUUAACAGCACCACCCUACAAGAAGCACUUAACAUCUUUCAGGAUAUGGCCAUGUUGUUCAUGUCUGCAAACAAUUCUGAUGCGGUUAUGUCAGCAAAGAACACACUGGACCAAAAAAUCCUUAAGUCCCAGCCUACUAAUGUGGAAGACACACUUCCACCAUAUGUAAAAGAUAUGGAUAGCAGCAGCAACAUCAAGACUAUAUGUGGCAAAUCUCCCUUCACACAGUUAUUCAAUGGUGUUCUGGAGAAGACCAAGUGCACACAACCAGGAAGUGGGGAAAAAAAUGAAUUCUACUGCCCAGGGAUCAUCAAUGUUCUCAUGAGCACAUACAUGGGCAUUUUCCCUCUUUGGAGUGGCUUACUGCUUGCAGACCUGAGUAGACACUCUAAAGAGAGUAUUAAAGAAAUAAAAACACGGGAAACAAAUUGCCAUGUAGAACAGUGGUUCUCAGUCGUUAAGAAUCACAUACUACAAAGAAAGAGGUUCCUGCGGCCUGCAGAUUUAAUCUCAAAGAUGUUCAACUCUCUGCAAGGAAGGUACAAACAGCAUCAGAUGAUGUAUAAUAUUGAUAGCCUGUCUCAAGAUGCACCUUCAAAGCAAAAGACAAUUGAUCAGCAAGAGGAGCAAUGGGCCAAAAGAUCUGAAAGACCUGCAAAACAUCGUUUCAAGUAUUUUGAUCCACCAGAAGCUGUGCCACAACCAAAAAAGUCGUUGUUUACAUUAACUCAAACUACCUUUAAUAUUAUAUUUAAAUAUCUAUUUGCUGAUCCAAGCCUUGUGGUCCAAGAAAGCAUGCGAGAUAGUCAUUGCUGUAACACAGUCAAAUGACAAAAAAAGGUCUUAUAUCUUGCAUCAUUCUGUAAUGAGGACUGACUCGGUUGUGGGUUUGAAUCCAUGUGCAGAGUUUUAUUAAGCACCACAGCACAAACAGAGGCAAACGGAGAGCAGAUAUCGUGGUCAAUAAGCAGGCAAAGGGUCGCAAACAAUAGUGGCAGUCCAGAUAGCAAACACAUCCAAAUCAGUAAUCCAAAAGACGAGGUCAAAGGCAGGUAAAAGACAAGCAAACAAUCCGUGACUAUGAAAUACGCUUGGUAGAGACAGGGUAAACUGGCAAUACUUCGCAACAUAAUGCACAAACAACAUGGCUUAAAACAGGUGCAGGCAGGAAGUGAUGAGAGAAGAAGCGGCAGUGUUCAGUAUUCGGGAGACAGCUCCCUCUGGCGGUUGGAUGAAUGAAUGUCGGAUGCAGAUGUUACACAUUCAGAGCUGAAAACACUCCAGCCACAUAAAUGGCUGGUGGGGGAGACAAUCCGAUGCUAUUUUCAAGUGUUGGUGAACAACAGCGAACAGGGAAAUAAAAUUUACAUACUUGAUCACUACACAGCGGGAAUUAUAAUUCAUGGUGAAAGAGAUCAAGUCCGGAGAAAAAGCCCCUCAAAGGUGAACUUUGAUGACUAUGAUGGACUGAUUAGCUUCCUGAAUGUCAAUGGGAGCCAUUGGGUAUUUCCGUAUGUCCAUGCAGCAUCCAGCCAUGUGUUUGUGGUAGACCUUGCGGGACAUGAUGAAAAGGCCAAAUCCAUGCAUGCCGCCUGCAGAUUUAGUACUGUUGAGGAAAAUCACCAUGGCAUUAUUCAUCCUAGAGGCAGAUACAAAACAUUCAUGCCCCACAACCACUCCGAAAGCCAUGCAACAUCCUCAACACCUGCAGCAGACGCCACUUUAACCGCAUGGCGCCGCGUGAGUGAACCCAAUACCUGCGCACUUUGGGCCGUCAUGUUUCCCUGAUAAAACAGGUAGCACGAGGCCCCAAAGGCAAACACAAGAAAAUAAAAAAAAUAAAAAUAAAAGAAACCAAACAGAAAAAAAAGACAGAAAAAGAAAGACUCACUCGAGUAAAUCCACCCACGCUCUCAACCGUCCACUCGCACCCAACACUCAUGCCGGAAACAGAGAGAGAGAGAGAGACUCUCUCCUGGACAUAGUACUAUAGUUAAAAAAUCUCCCCUGAAUAACAAAAAACACUACCUUAUCUUGUCUUAUCUAGAUGGCUAAAGAAGUUGUAGCUGAUUUACACAUCCAAGCAGCAUAUGGAAGAUGUGCGACUGAGAAUGGCUUAGGAAAUUCUGCAAGCCUCAGUAUUCAAGAGAGGACAUUACUGUUCUGCUUGUGCUGCCUCAAAACCCCCUUGUGGAGGUGCAAAAACGGUUUGGGGCUUCCACAGCACAUUCAAAGCAGGCCUUUCCUUACCUGGCAGCGGAGACACCAUGAUCAAGAAGGCGGUUCACCCAGGGCGAGGCUCGUUCAUUGCACUCCGGCCGUGCUGAUCCCUGCAAUUCAUCAUGUCACUCCUCUUCACAUCGUGCCUAACCACAGCCCUUAGCUGUUAUAAAUUGACAGUAAACCACAGCUUAUUGCCUUAAGCAUUAUUUGAUGUGGCAAUUAAUUUGAAGCUUAUAUAUAAGCUGUGCUUUACUGUGAAUUUAUAAAAGCUAAAAUAUACUGUAUAUGUGUGUGUGUGUGUAUUUAUAUAUAUAUAAUAUUACUAAUCAAUUUGAUAAGAUUAGAUAUUUUAUUAUUAUUAUUAUUAUUAUAUAUUUUUUUCAGAUCGAAUGUCAUCAAUGCAAGAGGUGGUUCCAUGUGACAUGCAUUCAAAUGACAGAGAGACAGUUUAACAGGGCUCAAAAGAGUGAUUGGAAAUGCUGCCUAUGCAAAUAAUUAAAAAAAUCCUGUGUAAAUGAUGUAUUAUAGUUAUUUUAUGUAAAAGUUAAGGUAUUUGUGGGGGUCUAGGGAUUGGGGGUGUUCCUGGGAAAUAUGAAAAUAUUGAAAAGAUAAUAAUUGAACAAUAAAAUUUAUGAAGUAU